RNAcentral lists this long non-coding RNA (248 nucleotides) under Capsella rubella. Its description in RNAcentral is "long non-coding RNA (CRUB_LNC002685)". Lineage: Eukaryota; Viridiplantae; Streptophyta; Magnoliopsida; Brassicales; Brassicaceae. The record is from RNAcentral.
AAACAAAAAAAAACUUUUGAAAAACUUUAUAGGUAAAGAAAAGAAGUAAAGGAAAAAAGCAAUUUCAUUAGGGAUGGUCGUUGACUUGUAUAGAGUUUAAGAAUUUAACUCGGAAGUAUAUAGAUACAAAUUGGCAAUUUGCAACGUAUAAAUAAAAAUACAAUAUAUCGAUAAUAAAACAUUAUUGCACAAAAAGUAGGGUCUUUCAAACAUACUAAUUUGUGUAAAUAGAAACAAAAAUAAACAAC